Molecule: long non-coding RNA, 2695 nt
Filed under: Setaria italica (foxtail millet)
Lineage: Eukaryota; Viridiplantae; Streptophyta; Magnoliopsida; Poales; Poaceae
Description: long non-coding RNA (SITA_LNC005799)
Source: RNAcentral
AAAAAUCUGCACAGGAAUGUUUCACCUGGUUUUAAAACAAAACCAAGUGCUACCUAUAUGUAUGCCAGGAUCAAGUUUCAUACAUAUAGUGACAUCAUAAGUGAAUAACAGCAACAAUAUCACGUAAAGAAACACAAAUAAAGACUUACGAGACUAUCAGAGAUACACAGCUUAAAUACUGGAAACGGAGGCUACAAACUUCACAGGCAAUAGACUGGGGAUUGGGUACGCCUAGUACUCAGCAUCAUCUUCACAACUUCAGGGCAGUUUCUUCUUCUGAGCAACGUUGGUUAUAGCAAGGGUGAGCACAUGUCGUACUCAACAAGUGUGAGGAGAAUAUGAAUGCAAGGUUUAAACAAGGAAAGGUUGACUGGUUGACUGCAUUAAGAAUUUUUAGUUGGUCAAAUUUUAUUAGCACCUGGUUACUAAAGUAUAAGUAUAUACUAACCCACAAUUAAUAGAAACAUAACCAUAAGCCAUAUAGCACAACCAUAACCACGAUUUAAGUCCAUCUUCAAGUAUAUUAAUCAUGUGAGGGUCCAGGCCACUCUUGACUGUAAGCACGGCUGAUCAAUCAAUUUUACACUCUGCAGAGGUUGAACAUCUUUACCCACAAGUCGUGUAAAAGUUCAAAGAACUUUAGACCCAACCAUGCGGUGCUAGCUAGGCACCAUACCACACUUUCGAGGUGUGAUUGCAUAGUGACGCUACGAGGCCUUUACAAAGAUUCGCUAGUAAGUGGUAACCCGCUAAGGUUUCAUGUUGAAGUAGAGCAUAACAGUCCCCUAGUGGGUACAAUGUCUUAGAAAAGCCCACUUCCCAAAAGAGCGAGUGCUAUACCCCAUCAACGCCUUCCCUUUUGUCCUUUCGGUAAGAUUACCCUAGACUAGAGUUUCUAAUUAUUUAGCCAAGACCAAAUCCAUUUAGUCUUGUGGUAGCACUAUUUUCCUAGGUGGUCGCUCCAUGUUCCGAUUAAACAUUAUGAUCUUGUAUUAGUGGAAGGUAUAGCAUCAGUAAAUCAAAAUUAAUCAUUGAUUUUAGUUGAACCACCAUAAGAAGUAUAGCAGCUAAGCAUAGCUACCCAACAGAAAGAUAAACCCAGGUUAACAAGGAAUGAUCAUAAAAAAACUAGUCAAACAUUAAUAGGACCCAUCAGAUUAAAUGCAAGCAUAUGAAAUAGUGAUUAAAUAAAGUUAUUGGGACAAAAGCAUAAGGACACACUUGCCUUUCUCCAACGAAAAGUUACUCUUACUGGUCUUCAGCGCUUGCUCUCUUGAAACUCUUACUCUUCAAAUAUUCCGAACAGCGAUCCUUCUACAUCAAAGCAAUCACCGGGACAAACAUACAAGCAAACAAACAAGUACAACUAAGAACAAUACACCAAAAGAAAACAAAGGCUUUAAAAGAGCAUACUAAAGGGCAGGGCUCGAUUCUAAGAUUAUGCGAAUGUAGGAAACGCUUAGCACGAAACUAUGGUUGAAAAGAUAAACCUACCGAGAGAUUUGAAUCAUAAAAGAAAAGACAAGAGCUACGCGCUGCAUUUAUUUUAGUUGAGAAAAACAAUGUAACGAUAUUUUAGAGAAAUAUCCUUAGGAAGAAUUAAUUAAGUCAUAUUUAUAUUUUCAUACGAAAAGACAAUGUAAAACUUAGUCCAAUUUUAUUUAUAAAUAUUUACGUAUAAGUAUGCAAAUUAAACAUUUAAUUAAAAAAAUAAGAUACAUGUAAACAUCUAAGCGCAUAGCUUUAUGAUUCGGGUAGAACCAAUUAAAUAAUAAUGGAAAAGCACAUUUAUAUUCAUAUUAACCAUAUUAACAUUUAAUUAUGAAACUCGAGUAAUCACCUAAGUAGCUUUUAUUUCGAAAUCAAAUUGAAUAAACAUUAAUCAAAUUGAAUUUAAUUUAUGAAACAUUGAGGUAUGUCUCUAAUUGUCUUUUAAUUUGAAGAAUCAUUUAGAUAAGUGUUAAUCAAAUUAACUUUAGUUAAUGAAAAACCAAUAUAUCACUUAAUUGGCUUUUAUUUUGAAAAGGAUAUGAACUAAGAAUUAACAGAUUGAAGUUUAUUAUGAAAAGCGGUAUAUAACUCUGAGUAGAUUUUAUUUAGAGAAGGAACACGUUUAUCAGGCAUUAAUCAAUUUAAUAUAAAUUUUAUUUUCAAAAACAUGCAUGAAGGAAAACAUUAUCACUAACGUGUAAUUUAUGUUGUUAUGAAUCUAACACAACUUGAACGAGGUUAAACGGAGUUAAAACGUGGAAUCUAUGAGCUAAACAGGGCUGCAGGGACCUAGUUGCGAUUAACCGUAGAUCUUAGGGGUUAGCAAGAAAGGUUACCGAGACAUGGAGAACAGGGCUUGCGAAUAGCUAAAAACUCAAGGUUAGAUCUGCAAAAGGUCAAGGCUUGGAUUAGAUUGAACUAAACUGAAUAGAUUGAGGACUUCUCUGUAAAGUUGCAAGACAUAUGAAAGCUGACAACGAUUUACAAGAUUUCCCAGGGGCUAGGCUGCAAAAUGACCUUAUCUCCUUCUUCAAUCCUUCCUCACACCGGCGCAUGGGGACAGCUCCAGCCGGCCGGCUUGCCGGCGCUUCGGCGCGGCGGAGGCCCGGGCGGGUGGUGCAGGUGGUGGAGAAGGGCGAGGGCAGCUCGAGGGAGGUGCUCACCGGCAAUGGGGAUGCGACGUUCCGGCUGGAAUCGAGUGGAC